Molecule: ribosomal RNA, 712 nt
Filed under: uncultured bacterium
Lineage: Bacteria
Description: bacterial SSU rRNA
Rfam family: Bacterial small subunit ribosomal RNA
Source: RNAcentral
CUUGCUUCUCUUGAGAGCGGCGGACGGGUGAGUAAUGCCUAGGAAUCUGCCUGGUAGUGGGGGAUAACGUCCGGAAACGGACGCUAAUACCGCAUACGUCCUACGGGAGAAAGCAGGGGACCUUCGGGCCUUGCGCUAUCAGAUGAGCCUAGGUCGGAUUAGCUAGUUGGUGGGGUAAUGGCUCACCAAGGCGACGAUCCGUAACUGGUCUGAGAGGAUGAUCAGUCACACUGGAACUGAGACACGGUCCAGACUCCUACGGGAGGCAGCAGUGGGGAAUAUUGGACAAUGGGCGAAAGCCUGAUCCAGCCAUGCCGCGUGUGUGAAGAAGGUCUUCGGAUUGUAAAGCACUUUAAGUUGGGAGGAAGGGCAGUAAAUUAAUACUUUGCUGUUUUGACGUUACCGACAGAAUAAGCACCGGCUAACUCUGUGCCAGCAGCCGCGGUAAUACAGAGGGUGCAAGCGUUAAUCGGAAUUACUGGGCGUAAAGCGCGCGUAGGUGGUUCGUUAAGUUGGAUGUGAAAUCCCCGGGCUCAACCUGGGAACUGCAUUCAAAACUGACGAGCUAGAGUAUGGUAGAGGGUGGUGGAAUUUCCUGUGUAGCGGUGAAAUGCGUAGAUAUAGGAAGGAACACCAGUGGCGAAAGCGACCACCUGGACUGAUACUGACACUGAGGUGCGAAAGCGUGGGGAGCAAACAGGAUUAGAUACCC